AUGCUCACUUCAGCAACACAUAUGCUAAAAUUGGAAAGAUAGCGAGAAAGAUAGUAUGGCUCCUGCAGAGGGAUGACACACAAUUUCAUAAAGCAUCCCACACACAC
Small nuclear RNA from Cervus elaphus (red deer), 107 nucleotides. The record is from RefSeq and is a predicted model, not a curated record. NCBI's taxonomy places the organism in Eukaryota, Metazoa, Chordata, Mammalia, Artiodactyla, Cervidae.